This 249-nucleotide long non-coding RNA is filed under the name Physcomitrium patens. RNAcentral's name for it is "long non-coding RNA (PPAT_LNC009290)". The record is from RNAcentral. Lineage: Eukaryota; Viridiplantae; Streptophyta; Bryopsida; Funariales; Funariaceae.
AAAUAUAUUUUAUUUUAUAAAAAAAAUAUUAAAUAUAUUUAGGCAUUGCCACAAAUUUAACAUUACUAUGACUUAAUUCUAAGGCACAUAUCAUAUAUACCAUUGAACUUUCUCAAAAUAUCAAGAAUAUUCCUCAACUUUGUGAUAAUUACAAAUUUGUCUUUUGGACUAAUAACCUAUAUAUUUCUAUUUUUUUAUAAUUUUAAUUAAGGCCAAAGCUUGUGCUUUCCCAUAGUGUCUAGGUCUUAU